Molecule: ribosomal RNA, 443 nt
Filed under: uncultured prokaryote
Description: bacterial SSU rRNA
Rfam family: Bacterial small subunit ribosomal RNA
Source: RNAcentral
UAGGGAAUAUUGGUCAAUGGGCGGAAGCCUGAACCAGCCAUGCCGCGUGCAGGAAGACGGCCUUCUGGGUUGUAAACUGCUUUUAUCAGGGACCAAAUAGCUCCUGCGGGAGAAGUUGAGUGUACCUGAAGAAUAAGCACCGGCUAACUCCGUGCCAGCAGCCGCGGUAAUACGGAGGGUGCAAGCGUUGUCCGGAUUUAUUGGGUUUAAAGGGUGCGUAGGCGGUUAAUUAAGUCAGUGGUGAAAUCCUUCAGCUUAACUGAAGACCUGCCAUUGAAACUGGUUAACUUGAGUACAGACGAGGUAGGCGGAAUUUAUGGUGUAGCGGUGAAAUGCAUAGAUACCAUAAAGAACACCUAUAGCGAAGGCAGCUUACUAGACUGUAACUGACGCUGAUGCACGAAAGCGUGGGGAGCGAACAGGAUUAGAUACCCCCGUAGUCC